GUGGGGAAUCUUCCGCAAUGGACGAAAGUCUGACGGAGCAACGCCGCGUGAGUGAUGAAGGUCUUCGGAUUGUAAAGCUCUGUUAAUCGGGACGAAAGAGCCUAGUGUGAAUAAUGCUAGGAAGUGACGGUACCGGAAUAGAAAGCCACGGCUAACUACGUGCCAGCAGCCGCGGUAAUACGUAGGUGGCAAGCGUUGUCCGGACUUAUUGGGCGUAAAGCGCGCGCAGGCGGAUCUGCCAGUCUGUCUUAAAAGUUCGGGGCUUAACCCCGUGAUGGGAUGGAAACUACAGAUCUAGAGUAUCGGAGAGGAAAGUGGAAUUCCUAGUGUAGCGGUGAAAUGCGUAGAUAUUAGGAAGAACACCAGUGGCGAAGGCGACUUUCUGGACGAAAACUGACGCUGAGGCGCGAAAGCCAGGGGAGCGAACGGGAUUAGAAACCCGUGUAGUCC
This 450-nucleotide ribosomal RNA is filed under the name uncultured bacterium. RNAcentral describes it as "partial 16S ribosomal RNA". It matches the Rfam family "Bacterial small subunit ribosomal RNA", at positions 354 to 796 of the family's 1533-position model. The record is from RNAcentral.